Molecule: ribosomal RNA, 2699 nt
Filed under: Escherichia coli
Lineage: Bacteria; Pseudomonadati; Pseudomonadota; Gammaproteobacteria; Enterobacterales; Enterobacteriaceae
Description: partial 23S ribosomal RNA
Rfam family: Bacterial large subunit ribosomal RNA
Source: RNAcentral
GGGUUGUGAGGUUAAGCGACUAAGCGUACACGGUGGAUGCCCUGGCAGUCAGAGGCGAUGAAGGACGUGCUAAUCUGCGAUAAGCGUCGGUAAGGUGAUAUGAACCGUUAUAACCGGCGAUUUCCGAAUGGGGAAACCCAGUGUGUUUCGACACACUAUCAUUAACUGAAUCCAUAGGUUAAUGAGGCGAACCGGGGGAACUGAAACAUCUAAGUACCCCGAGGAAAAGAAAUCAACCGAGAUUCCCCCAGUAGCGGCGAGCGAACGGGGAGCAGCCCAGAGCCUGAAUCAGUGUGUGUGUUAGUGGAAGCGUCUGGAAAGGCGCGCGAUACAGGGUGACAGCCCCGUACACAAAAAUGCACAUGCUGUGAGCUCGAUGAGUAGGGCGGGACACGUGGUAUCCUGUCUGAAUAUGGGGGGACCAUCCUCCAAGGCUAAAUACUCCUGACUGACCGAUAGUGAACCAGUACCGUGAGGGAAAGGCGAAAAGAACCCCGGCGAGGGGAGUGAAAAAGAACCUGAAACCGUGUACGUACAAGCAGUGGGAGCACGCUUAGGCGUGUGACUGCGUACCUUUUGUAUAAUGGGUCAGCGACUUAUAUUCUGUAGCAAGGUUAACCGAAUAGGGGAGCCGAAGGGAAACCGAGUCUUAACUGGGCGUUAAGUUGCAGGGUAUAGACCCGAAACCCGGUGAUCUAGCCAUGGGCAGGUUGAAGGUUGGGUAACACUAACUGGAGGACCGAACCGACUAAUGUUGAAAAAUUAGCGGAUGACUUGUGGCUGGGGGUGAAAGGCCAAUCAAACCGGGAGAUAGCUGGUUCUCCCCGAAAGCUAUUUAGGUAGCGCCUCGUGAAUUCAUCUCCGGGGGUAGAGCACUGUUUCGGCAAGGGGGUCAUCCCGACUUACCAACCCGAUGCAAACUGCGAAUACCGGAGAAUGUUAUCACGGGAGACACACGGCGGGUGCUAACGUCCGUCGUGAAGAGGGAAACAACCCAGACCGCCAGCUAAGGUCCCAAAGUCAUGGUUAAGUGGGAAACGAUGUGGGAAGGCCCAGACAGCCAGGAUGUUGGCUUAGAAGCAGCCAUCAUUUAAAGAAAGCGUAAUAGCUCACUGGUCGAGUCGGCCUGCGCGGAAGAUGUAACGGGGCUAAACCAUGCACCGAAGCUGCGGCAGCGACGCUUAUGCGUUGUUGGGUAGGGGAGCGUUCUGUAAGCCUGUGAAGGUGUGCUGUGAGGCAUGCUGGAGGUAUCAGAAGUGCGAAUGCUGACAUAAGUAACGAUAAAGCGGGUGAAAAGCCCGCUCGCCGGAAGACCAAGGGUUCCUGUCCAACGUUAAUCGGGGCAGGGUGAGUCGACCCCUAAGGCGAGGCCGAAAGGCGUAGUCGAUGGGAAACAGGUUAAUAUUCCUGUACUUGGUGUUACUGCGAAGGGGGGACGGAGAAGGCUAUGUUGGCCGGGCGACGGUUGUCCCGGUUUAAGCGUGUAGGCUGGUUUUCCAGGCAAAUCCGGAAAAUCAAGGCUGAGGCGUGAUGACGAGGCACUACGGUGCUGAAGCAACAAAUGCCCUGCUUCCAGGAAAAGCCUCUAAGCAUCAGGUAACAUCAAAUCGUACCCCAAACCGACACAGGUGGUCAGGUAGAGAAUACCAAGGCGCUUGAGAGAACUCGGGUGAAGGAACUAGGCAAAAUGGUGCCGUAACUUCGGGAGAAGGCACGCUGAUAUGUAGGUGAAGUCCCUCGCGGAUGGAGCUGAAAUCAGUCGAAGAUACCAGCUGGCUGCAACUGUUUAUUAAAAACACAGCACUGUGCAAACACGAAAGUGGACGUAUACGGUGUGACGCCUGCCCGGUGCCGGAAGGUUAAUUGAUGGGGUCAGCGCAAGCGAAGCUCUUGAUCGAAGCCCCGGUAAACGGCGGCCGUAACUAUAACGGUCCUAAGGUAGCGAAAUUCCUUGUCGGGUAAGUUCCGACCUGCACGAAUGGCGUAAUGAUGGCCAGGCUGUCUCCACCCGAGACUCAGUGAAAUUGAACUCGCUGUGAAGAUGCAGUGUACCCGCGGCAAGACGGAAAGACCCCGUGAACCUUUACUAUAGCUUGACACUGAACAUUGAGCCUUGAUGUGUAGGAUAGGUGGGAGGCUUGGAAGUGUGGACGCCAGUCUGCAUGGAGCCGACCUUGAAAUACCACCCUUUAAUGUUUGAUGUUCUAACGUUGACCCGUAAUCCGGGUUGCGGACAGUGUCUGGUGGGUAGUUUGACUGGGGCGGUCUCCUCCUAAAGAGUAACGGAGGAGCACGAAGGUUGGCUAAUCCUGGUCGGACAUCAGGAGGUUAGUGCAAUGGCAUAAGCCAGCUUGACUGCGAGCGUGACGGCGCGAGCAGGUGCGAAAGCAGGUCAUAGUGAUCCGGUGGUUCUGAAUGGAAGGGCCAUCGCUCAACGGAUAAAAGGUACUCCGGGGAUAACAGGCUGAUACCGCCCAAGAGUUCAUAUCGACGGCGGUGUUUGGCACCUCGAUGUCGGCUCAUCACAUCCUGGGGCUGAAGUAGGUCCCAAGGGUAUGGCUGUUCGCCAUUUAAAGUGGUACGCGAGCUGGGUUUAGAACGUCGUGAGACAGUUCGGUCCCUAUCUGCCGUGGGCGCUGGAGAACUGAGGGGGGCUGCUCCUAGUACGAGAGGACCGGAGUGGACGCAUCACUGGUGUU